This is a long non-coding RNA of Rhagoletis zephyria (snowberry fruit fly), 137 nucleotides long. RefSeq lists it as uncharacterized. The record is from RefSeq and is a predicted model, not a curated record. Lineage: Eukaryota; Metazoa; Arthropoda; Insecta; Diptera; Tephritidae.
GACAUUUCCUUGUAAAAGUAAUCGAUGAAAUACACUGCAAGUAGUCGGUCGGUAAUUGGCGGAGUUUAUCACGUAGUUUCUGAUUCAGCAGUCCAGUAGUCGCUCCCCCGUACUGCAGGGUACAUACAUAAGUAAAA